This is a long non-coding RNA of Pecten maximus, 1980 nucleotides long. RefSeq lists it as uncharacterized. The record is from RefSeq and is a predicted model, not a curated record. The transcript has 3 exons. NCBI's taxonomy places the organism in Eukaryota, Metazoa, Mollusca, Bivalvia, Pectinida, Pectinidae.
UUCUAUUCGAUCCUUCUCUGUACAGGUAAUUCCUAAGUUGAUAGAGUAAACGUGGAUCAGCCCUAUGAUAUUAAAUGCUGCCAGAAUUGGAUUAUUUUUACCAAAAAAGCCUUGCAAUAUGAUUUCCUGUGUCUAAUAGCCUAGCUUGAAGUGACGAGUCGGUGGAGUAUGAAAUAUGUUUGUAUUGUUAAAUCUAUGAAUCAUUACCGGUAACUGAUUGUUGAUUGUGAAUUUUUUCACACAGAUAUUAUAUUGAUAUGCUGUUGUAAUUGCAGUUAUUUCCCUUGAGGGAGGUUUCUAACAUAAAAGCCACUCUCAGAACCCCAUUAUUCACUGUGACAUGUAACAUAUUGUAACUUUUUAUUUCAAGUGACUACAAAAUGGGACAGUUUGAUGAAUAAAGUUACAAUGGAUAUAACUGCAGUAUCUUAAGUGAAACAUUUAAAGAUGGUUGUAUAUUGUUAUAAAUAUUAAUAUGUAUAUAGUUACUUCAUUAGAAAAGCAGCAUUUUAAACUGAAAAAUUACUUUGGAGUGAAUUAAAGCUUCGGUGAGUGAUAAUUUGUGUUUUUUGUGUGCUACUAUUGUGGACCUGUGACCGUUGUGACUAUGUUAUUGUGGACCUGUGACCGUUGUGACCAUGUUAUUGUUUAAUUACCUGGUAUAUGGUGCCUCCUACCUCAAUUUGAAACAUGUUUAUGUAUGUUCAUGUGUUUUAUUUUAAUAAAUAAGUAUAUUUUUUUCAAAACAGUGAUUUUGUACAAUAAAGCUGGUCAACUAUUAAACAAUAAAUGUUUACCAUUUUAUAAAGUUAAGACCUAUUCUAAUUCUAGGCUCUAUGACAGAUUUGGAAAGACAUGCAUUCUUGAUAAUUUGUAAACAAUUUGAAAUUAAAAGAUAAAUUAAAGUUAUAUGUUUUUAAGAUAAGAUGGUAGACAUUACAUGUUUGAUAUUUGACAAAUCUUCAAGAUGAGUUUGUUUGUAGCAUCCUCACUUAAUUAAAGAUAGAUAAGUGAUGUGAAUCUCAAUGUGGUUACAAGUUUACACCUGUAUGUCCAGUGAAACAUUAAUAUGUGUGAUUUCAGUGACUAUGGUGUGGUAUAAACACUGUUACUUUGUAAAACUUGACAUAGAAUAAUGACCUCGAAGUUUGGAACCAAGCAUAGAUGGUUUGAGUUUUUGCCCGAUGGUCAUUUCGUAUAUUGGUGACACUAGAGUUUAUAUAUAUAUAUAUAUAUGUGUGUGUGUUGAAAGUUACCUAAUCAAUCUUUUUCUGCUACAAUUCUAUUAUCAUUUUGUACAUUUUUAUAAUCCAUGUAAUCUACUCAAAGUGGAUGAGAAUGAACCGAUCAAUCCAUUUGUCAUUUCAUAUAAACUUAUAUCAACUUUAAACCUCAGAGUAUAUAACAUACCGAUUUGUCUGAUGAAGGUGACAGAGUUGAUAACAUACUGAUUUGUCUGAUAAAGGUGACUGAUUUGUCUGAUGAAGGUGACAGAUUUGUCUGAUGAAGGUGACUGAUUUGUCUGAUGAAGGUGACAGAUUUGUCUGAUGAAGGUGACUGAUUAGUCUGAUGAAGGUGACAGAUUUGUCUGAUGAAGGUGACUGAUUUGUCUGAUGAAGGUAACAGAGAACAUAAGUACUAGUUACUGAAAUGUCACAUAUUAUCCUCUCACUGGUUCUGGUAUGAAUGUAUUUAAUCUGCAUAUUUAUUCUUACCAAUCCGAGGAUUUUGUUUUAUAAUGUAGAACAUUUCAACUAAAUUAAAUGUAACCAGAAUUACUGUAAAAUAGUAUGCUGAGAAUCAACAAUCUUUAAAGUUGUUGAAAAGGCAUUUUGAAUAAAGAAAGCAUUAACUAUUAGACAGGUGUGUUCCUUUGAUAGACCUAGCCUGUAAUAUGUAGUGAUUUCGGUAAUUUGGGUUCUUACAGUCAGGUGUGUGGAUACUGCAAACAAUCUCUGCCAUCAUUUUUUUCGUUGACCG